GGAAGGCAUUCGCGUCCGGUGGCGCGGCCGGGCUUCAAACCCGGUUGGGGGCGUCAAACGCUCUCGGGUCGGUUCGACUCCGGCUGUCUUCCGCC
RNAcentral lists this transfer RNA (95 nucleotides) under Trinickia soli. Its description in RNAcentral is "tRNA-Sec". It matches the Rfam family "Selenocysteine transfer RNA". The record is from RNAcentral. Lineage: Bacteria; Pseudomonadati; Pseudomonadota; Betaproteobacteria; Burkholderiales; Burkholderiaceae.